Molecule: ribosomal RNA, 253 nt
Filed under: uncultured bacterium
Lineage: Bacteria
Description: partial 16S ribosomal RNA
Rfam family: Bacterial small subunit ribosomal RNA
Source: RNAcentral
UACGGAGGGUGCGAGCGUUAUCCGGAAUUACUGGGUUUAAAGGGUGCGUAGGCGGCUAUGUAAGUCAGAAGUGAAAGUUUGCGGCUCAACCGUAAAAUUGCUUUUGAUACUGCAUGGCUGGAAUCAGGAUGAGGUCAGCGGAAUGUGGCAUGUAGCGGUGAAAUGCAUAGAUAUGCCAUAGAACACCAAUUGCGAAGGCAGCUGGCUAGACCUGUAUUGACGCUGAGGCACGAAAGCGUGGGGAGCGAACAGG